RNAcentral lists this ribosomal RNA (771 nucleotides) under uncultured bacterium. RNAcentral's name for it is "bacterial SSU rRNA". It matches the Rfam family "Bacterial small subunit ribosomal RNA", at positions 8 to 796 of the family's 1533-position model. The record is from RNAcentral.
AGAGUUUGAUCCUGGCUCAGGACGAACGCUGGCGGCGUGCUUAACACAUGCAAGUCGAACGGAAAGGCCCUUCGGGGUACUCGAGUGGCGAACGGGUGAGUAACACGUGGGUGAUCUGCCCUGCACUUUGGGAUAAGCCUGGGAAACUGGGUCUAAUACCGAAUAUGACCAUGCGCCUCCUGGUGUGUGGUGGAAAGCUUUUGCGGUGUGGGAUGGGCCCGCGGCCUAUCAGCUUGUUGGUGGGGUAAUGGCCUACCAAGGCGACGACGGGUAGCCGGCCUGAGAGGGUGACCGGCCACACUGGGACUGAGAUACGGCCCAGACUCCUACGGGAGGCAGCAGUGGGGAAUAUUGCACAAUGGGCGCAAGCCUGAUGCAGCGACGCCGCGUGAGGGAUGACGGCCUUCGGGUUGUAAACCUCGUUCAGCACAGACGAAGCGCAAGUGACGGUAUGUGCAGAAGAAGGACCGGCCAACUACGUGCCAGCAGCCGCGGUAAUACGUAGGGUCCGAGCGUUGUCCGGAAUUACUGGGCGUAAAGAGCUCGUAGGUGGUUUGUCGCGUUGUUCGUGAAAACUCACAGCUUAACUGUGGGCGUGCGGGCGAUACGGGCAGACUUGAGUACUGCAGGGGAGACUGGAAUUCCUGGUGUAGCGGUGGAAUGCGCAGAUAUCAGGAGGAACACCGGUGGCGAAGGCGGGUCUCUGGGCAGUAACUGACGCUGAGGAGCGAAAGCGUGGGGAGCGAACAGGAUUAGAUACCCUGGUAGUCC